RNAcentral lists this ribosomal RNA (909 nucleotides) under Triticum aestivum (bread wheat). Its description in RNAcentral is "partial small subunit ribosomal RNA". Lineage: Eukaryota; Viridiplantae; Streptophyta; Magnoliopsida; Poales; Poaceae. The record is from RNAcentral.
AUGGAUUUCGUCGAGGGUUUGCCCAAGUCUGACGGCUACGACACCAUCACGGUGGUGGUUGAUCGCUUCACCAAGCUCGCACAUUUUGUGCCAUUGCGACAUCCGUUCACGGCCACUCAGGUGGCAAGGGCGUUUUGGGACAACAUCGUCAAACUUCACGGCAUUUCUGCAUCCAUUGUGUCAGACCACGACACGGUGUUCACCAGUACACUCUGGCGCGAGCUGCUUGCCGGCGCUGGCACCAAGCUUCUGUACUCCAUGGCGUACCACCCGCAGACUGACGGACAGAGAGAGCGUGUGAAUCAAUGUAUGGAGAUGUAUCUGCGCUGUGCCAUCCACGACACUCCGCGUCAAUGGCGCCGCUGGCUGCCAUCAGCUGAAUUCUGGUAUAACUCCUCCUUCCACUCGUCGUUGGGUUGCUCUCCAUUCAAAGCACUGUACGGGGUGGAGGCGAAUGAGGGGAGCAUGGCCACCUGGCCAGCAACUCAAGCUACCUUGCCGGAUGGUGAACAGUGGGACUGGGCAGUGCAUAAGGAAAACUUGCAAGCACAGUUGACUCGAGCGCAGACUAAGUACAAGAAGUUUGCAGACAGGAAUCGCAUAGAGCGUGUUUUUCAAGUUGGGGAGCAAGUGCUGCUAAAACUCCAACCCUAUGUGCAGAAAUCGGUGGCCAGCCGACCGUGCGCCAAGUUGGCAUUCAAGUUCUUCGGUCCAUUCAUCAUCAGCGCCAAGAUUGGUCCCUCGGCUUACAAGUUGGAGUUGCCGCCUGACAGUCGCAUUCAUCCUGUGUUCCAUGUGUCCCAACUGAAGCCUUUCACACCAAUUAUACACCAGCGUUCUCUAAACUGCCUGCCAUGGACUUAUCCGCUGUGGACUCUCAACCGGUCGAGAUUUUGGACAAGAGAAUGA